RNAcentral lists this unclassified non-coding RNA (370 nucleotides) under soil metagenome. RNAcentral describes it as "partial contains 5.8S ribosomal RNA, internal transcribed spacer 2, and large subunit ribosomal RNA". The stretch from base 1 to 119 matches the Rfam family "5.8S ribosomal RNA", at positions 36 to 154 of the family's 154-position model. The record is from RNAcentral.
AUGAAGAACGCAGCGAAAUGCGAUAAGUAAUGUGAAUUGCAGAAUUCAGUGAAUCAUCGAAUCUUUGAACGCACAUUGCGCCCCCUGGAAUUCCGGGGGGCAUGCCUGUUCGAGCGUCUCAGGGACGAACCCUCGCGCGGGUGUACGCGCGGUCGUGGCUGCGGUGGCGUGCCCGAGGCGGCGGCCACCGCGCUGGAAUCCAUGGGCGGACGCCUGCCGCGUGGCCGAGCGUGAUAUGACGCAUUGGCGCUCGCACGCGGAGAGGCUGCCAGCCCUGGCCCGUCUGUCGGGCGGGGGAGAGCAAGACACGUGAACUCCUCGAAUCAGGUAGGGAUACCCGCUGAACUUAAGCAUAUCAAUAAGCGGAGGA